Molecule: transfer RNA, 73 nt
Filed under: Candidatus Poseidoniales archaeon
Lineage: Archaea; Methanobacteriati; Thermoplasmatota; Candidatus Poseidoniia; Candidatus Poseidoniales
Also listed under: 1 other name
Description: Marine Group II euryarchaeote tRNA-Thr
Rfam family: tRNA
About the family: Transfer RNA (tRNA) molecules are approximately 80 nucleotides in length. Their secondary structure includes four short double-helical elements and three loops (D, anti-codon, and T loops).
Source: RNAcentral
GCCACUGUGGCUUAGUUGGUAGAGCAUCUGAUUCGUAAUCAGAAGGUCGGGAGUUCGAAUCUCCCCAGUGGCU